GAUGAACGCUGGCGGCGUGCCUAAUACAUGCAAGUCGAGCGAACAGACGAGGAGUUUGCUCCUCUGACGUUAGCGGCGGACGGGUGAGUAACACGUGGAUAACCUACCUAUAAUACUGGUAUAACUUCGGGAAACCGGAUCUAAUACCGGAUAAUAUAUUUAACCGCAUGGUUCAAUAGUGAAAGACGGUUUUGCUGUCACUUAUAGAUUGAUCCGCGCCGCAUUAGCUAGUUGGUUAGGUAACGGCUUACCAAGGCAACGAUGCGUAGCCGAACUGAGAGAGUGAUCGGCCACACGGGAACUGAGACACGGUCCAGACUCCUGCGGGAGGCAGCAGUAGGGAAUCUUACGCAAUGGGCGAGAGCCUGACGGAGCAACGCCGCGUGAGUGAUGAAGGUCUUCGGAUCGUAAAACUCUGUUAUUAGGGGAGAACAAAUGUGUAAGUAACUGUGCACGUAUUGACGGUACCUGAUGAGGAAGCCCCGGCUAACUACGUG
RNAcentral lists this ribosomal RNA (497 nucleotides) under uncultured bacterium. RNAcentral describes it as "partial 16S ribosomal RNA". It matches the Rfam family "Bacterial small subunit ribosomal RNA", at positions 28 to 507 of the family's 1533-position model. The record is from RNAcentral.